GAUGAAGAACGCAGCGAAAUGCGAUACUUGGUGUGAAUUGCAGAAUCCCGUGAACCAUCGAGUCUUUGAACGCAAGUUGCGCCUCAAGCCAUUAGGUUGAGGGCACGUCUGCCUGGGCGUCACAUAUCGUUGCCUGAUGCCAGUUUCCUCGUGAUGAGUGACUGUGCAGGGCGAAUGAUGGCUUCCCGUGAGCAUUGUUGCCUCAUGGUUGGUUGAAAAUUGAGUCCUUGGUAGGGAGCGCCGUGAUAGAUGGUGGUUGAGUGACGAACGAGACCCAAUCAUGUGAGACCCCUACCGAAUUUGGCCUUCAUGACCCACAUGCGUCUUUGGAACGCUCAUGACGAGACCUCAGGUCAGGCGGGGCUACCCGCUGAGUUUAAGCAUAUCAAUAAGCGGAGGA
Molecule: unclassified non-coding RNA, 400 nt
Filed under: soil metagenome
Description: partial contains 5.8S ribosomal RNA, internal transcribed spacer 2, and large subunit ribosomal RNA
Rfam family: 5.8S ribosomal RNA (bases 1-122)
Source: RNAcentral